Long non-coding RNA from Papaver somniferum (opium poppy), 5528 nucleotides. RefSeq lists it as uncharacterized. Lineage: Eukaryota; Viridiplantae; Streptophyta; Magnoliopsida; Ranunculales; Papaveraceae. The record is from RefSeq and is a predicted model, not a curated record. The transcript is spliced from 4 exons.
CAUGUUUUCAAGUACGUCGUAAGAUUAUUGAAUACUUUGACAGCAUCAUAUGCACAUGGAAUCCAGACCCCAAUUUCAGAAUCAACAUAUAAGACCAUCAUCUGUGUGCAUAGAAAAUAUCUGGAGGUUCAAAUCUAGAAGCUGAUGAGAAUGAUUAUGCGUCUUUGGAUAAUUGGGUGAUGUGACACAUAAAAUGUGGUAGUUAUUGUUUGAGAAAAAGCAAGAUUACUAGGCGAGAUGAAUGUCGAUUCAAAUUCCCAAUGGAGCUUUUAGAUGAUUCUAAGCUUGUUGAAGAACAAGCUGAUAACAACAUGUACAGAUUUGUUGGCCGGAGAAAUGAUAAAUUGUUGAAUUCUCACAAUCGAGCGGUUCUACAAACAUGGAGAGCAAACAUCGACUGGUAUGUUGUAACAACCACGGAAUCCGUUACCAGUUAUAUCGCCAAGUAUGCAGCAAAUUAGUCCGAACCAGCAUCAAAGGAUUUCAUCGACACUCUGCGAGGAAUUAUUAAUGAUCCACUAUGACCUUGUCGUGACUCAAUAUAUGCGAUAAGAAGACUGCUCAUCAAGAUUGUAUCGGAAAUAGAUAUAUCUUCCCAAGAGGUGUGCCACUUGUUGAUGGGUUGGAAUAUGACAGACUCGUCAAGAAAGUUCGUUUUGCUAAAUUUGAGUGAAAGUAGGUUGUUUUCCUGUCAACUAUGGAAGAAUCUAAGUAAUGAUGAUGGAGAUCACUGGUAUGUUGUAACAACCACGGAAUCCGUUACCAGUUAUAUCGCCAAGUAUGCAGCAAAUUAGUCCGAACCAGCAUCAAAGGAUUUCAUCGACACUCUGCGAGGAAUUAUUAAUGAUCCACUAUGACCUUGUCGUGACUCAAUAUAUGCGAUAAGAAGACUGCUCAUCAAGAUUGUAUCGGAAAUAGAUAUAUCUUCCCAAGAGGUGUGCCACUUGUUGAUGGGUUGGAAUAUGACAGACUCGUCAAGAAAGUUCGUUUUGCUAAAUUUGAGUGAAAGUAGGUUGUUUUCCUGUCAACUAUGGAAGAAUCUAAGUAAUGAUGAUGGAGAUCACGGGAUAACUAACCAGAAUUUCUUUUCCAGAUAUUUGACUAGACCGGAUGACUAUGAGCAGAUGUCGUUGAUUGAUAUGUGAAAGACACGCUAUUAUGCUCGUCGAAAGUAGUGCAAGCACCAUGUUGAUCUUGUUGUUAGGAUUUCACCUGAGUUCAGUGGGAAAAAUAUCAUCAGAUACUGAUCAUUGGGAAUCCUAUUGCAGACAACAAGUAUUGUUGAAUAGCCAUUACAUGAGUUUUGAAGAAGCGAAAUGAAAUUUUGCUAUGUGGUCAGAAUGUUAUGCUGAACUCAUCCGUCCCACUGAAAAUUUGUCAGUAAAUCUUAGCAUGGUUGAGGAUGAAUUAGAGGAUGAAACACAUCCAAAAGAUGAGGAUUUAGAGGAAUUGAUGGUUUCAGCAGCGAUGGCACCCAAUUCUAGGGUAUUAGAGGAUACUGAUUUAGGUUUGCGGGACAUCGAUGUCAACCAUAACUGGUCACAGGGUUACUGGACUACCUUUCCAUUCACGAGAAGAAAGGAUUUAUCCACACGUUAAGACAAAUUGUGCAAGAGACACAUUCAGUUUCUGGUUCAGGUACUUCUCCCAUUACUCUGUCAAGACAGUAAUAAGUCGCACUUGAUAUGGUUCUGAAUUUUUGAGAUCGGAAUCAACUAUUCGAUUGAUUAUCAGUGGAGGGGCAGGCACGGGAAAGUCAACUCUUAUAAGUGUCAUUUUUCACUCAAUGAGGGAAUUUUUUAACAACGAAAAGUCUGUUCGAAUCAUGGCUCCCACCGGUGUAGACGCAUCCAACACUGGAGGUUCAACUAUUCACCACGAACUCGCCAUCACAGCGGAUAGGAACCUUUCAUACAAGAAGCUGGAGGCAGAACGAUGCAGACGUAUGCAGGUUGAUUUCAAAGACACUAAGCUGAUAAUUAUUAACGAAUACAACAUGAUCGGCAGAAAAAUGCUUACAAAUAUCAAUCUUCGAUUAAGAGACAUUUUUCUAACAAGCGAACCUUUUGGGAAUGUCUCUAUUGUACUCGUCGGUGAUAUGAGACAACUUUCACAUGUUUUUGAUAUGCCAUUAUAUGUUGAAGGCGGGGGAGAGUUACAACUGACAUGUAAUCUCUCUUACUCUGUGUUUAAACAGUGUGUUUGCCUUAAAAAAAAUCUGACAGUCUGGAGUUGAGAAGUCAGAAUAUAGAAAAGUGUUGUCUAGAUUAAGUGAUGGCAACUCCACUGAAGAUUGGAAUAUGUUUGUCAUUAGGAGCUACGCGACCCUUUCAGUCGAAGAAAGACAACUUUAAGCAUGUUGUUCGUAUGUUUCCCACUAAAGAUUAUGCUGCCAAUCAUAAUUGUCAACGCCUCAGACGUCUUGGGCUUCCUGUUGCGCGUAUCCCAUCAAAGAAUAACUAUGCAACAGCUAAGGAAGCAAAUUCUGAUGAGGCGAAAAGGUUACAAGAUGUUUUUUGUUGUCAAAGAAAUCAAGGGUUAUGUUGCGUAAGAGUUAUUCACUCAGAUUGGUUUGGUGAAUGGUUCAACAGGAACUGUUAAGGACAUUAUAUAUGAAAAAGAAGAGAAAUCACCCACAGGUAUGCCUAUUGAUGUUAUUGUCGAAUUCGAUAAGUACAUUGGUCCAAGGGUGUACGUAGAAUCAACUCUGAUUCCUAUCAUUUCAGUCACAAUAAGAUUGACAUCGUCUUUUGGGGUGGCAUGCGAGCCUACUCAGUUACCACUUAUCUUUUGUUGGGCAAUAACGGUUCACAAGAGCUAGGGGUUGACUCUUGAUCAGGCCGUGGUGAAUAUAGGAAUCACAGAGAGACUCAGUAUGACGUUUGUAGCAUUGUAACGUAUUAAACGACUUAGAUACCUUGCGUUAUGUCCUAUGUUUGAUUUCGAAAUAAUAAAGAGAAUAGGCGAUUGUUACGGGAUUAAAAAAAAGACGUGUAGAAGAAGAGAGGUUGCAACAAUUAGCAAGUGAGGCGCAAGAAUCUCUAAGGUGAAUGUCAUUUUGAUGUCACUGGAAUAUUAGAGCUCCAGGAUAAGAAAAGCAUAUUGGUUGCAUCUAUUUUCACGGAUCACAAAUUUUCUUUUACAGUCUCAUUGCAGCGGUGUUUCAUUUUUCUUCGGUCGGCCCUCCCCACUGUGGCAGCGUGUUCUAGUCUAGAUGGUUUCAAGAUCGUGGAAAGGAACUCGGGCGGAUUAAACUUCAAGAUCAUCUUCUCAGCAACCAUUGGAGCAUGGUUAGGUUCGAAUACAAAAGAAAUUCUUCAAUUAAACAGCAACAGCAACAAGAGAAAAUGGACCAGAAGAAACGACAACUUCUCUUUUCUAGUUGAAAAAUAACAAACUCUAGGGGAGAAUAUCUCAAAAUUGUAAGAACAUAUGAGAGUAGAGCUAAGAAUAAGGCUCUUUUUAUACCAAAAGGCAAAGAUAGUUAUCAUUGGCAAAGAUUUAAUGAGCUUUUAAACAAAUUAAUUGGAAAUAGAACCAAUACCCAUCAUUAGCAAGCACCAGUGACGACUGAUUUCCCUGGUACCAUCAGCAACAAUAAUAUCUCAAGACCAAAUAGCGCUUUUUGUUGCAUAGCUUUUGGUUCUAUCUCUUGGAAUCAAUAAACUCUUUGUCAUUUUUCAACCCAAUAAUGAUCAAGAAUGGGAAAGUUAUUGGAACCUCUUAAAUGGAAGUUCAAAGAUACAACAAUGGAAGUUAAGAGAUAGAUAGAUGAAGAUGGUACAAUUAAUACUAGAGCUCUUACACUGGCGUAAAAUUGGAUCAAAAUAAAAGGGUUGUCGGUUCAAUUAUGGUCCAAAGCAAAUUUCGAUCAUAUUAGUGAUUUUAUGGAGGGUUUAGCUGAAAUAGAUAAAGAAGCAGUGGAAAGAAACCCUUUUUCUUGUAUAUUAAAGGUAAAAUGCUUGGCGCAAGAUAUCCCGGCAGCAAUUCAGAUCAACCUUCAGGGUAUGGAUUUGGUUUUAGUAAUAAAAUGGGAUUAUGCUUACAGGCUAGCGAUGAACUCAACGGUAAACUCCUACAGGAGGAUGCUAGAACAGUUGGAAAAGGCAAAAACACCCGUGCAAAUUUCAAAUUCAAAUUUUGAUUAAUGACAGUAUCAAAAGUUGUACAGAUGUUGCGGCUCCAAUUGAAUGGCUGAGGGAACACGUGGGUCAAAAGUCAAUUAAUAGUUCUAGUCAAACCCCAAAGACCGUAACUGAUUUUUUCAAUCGUUUUUCAGAAAGAAAGGUCAAGAAGGUAAGCAACAAAGUCAAAAAGUAAUGGUUAUUCAGAAACCAAAACCGGUUCAAGAAUUUAUUAACUGAUACUACAAAAACAAAGGAAAGAAACAGGUAGAGAAUAUAGAAGUGACAGUGGUGGAAGACCAAGGGAGAAUGGAGGUUGAAGAUCAAGCAAAUCUCAACAAACUAGAUCAUCUGCAAUUGGCAAUAGAUCCUUUCAACCAAACUGAAGAAAUUAUGGAGGAAACUACGCAAAAUCUAAACUGGGAGAUAGUGAAAAUCAACUUCAUCCACAACAUAGUGGAUUAAAAUAUGGAAGCAACAACAAACAUAAAUGCAAAUUUUGCAGGUCAAGAAGAGAAAGUAAAGGAAGUUUAUGCAGAGAUUCUGUCCAAGCAUCUCAAAUUAAAUAAAGAACCAAUAAUCAAUAGGCUGUCACUAAUCACUGGAAUCAUUGCAGUACAUGACUCUAAUAACAUAAUUGAAAACUCUAUGGAAGAGAAUGAAUGAGAGGGAGAAGCUUUUGAAGAUGUAGUUAACUUGGAUUCAGAUGGUCUCAAUGAAUAUUAAAGUCCUACUGUGGAAUAAGAAAAGGUUAACAGCAUUUGACAAGAUGGAUGCACUAAAAGGUCUAAUUAUAAAAGUUAAACCCAUUGCUUGUCUAAUUUAGAAAACCCAUAUGAUGAAGAUGAAUGAUUGGUAUGUGAAACAAAUAUGGGGAAAUGAUCAACACAAAUGGAGAGACAUUCCUUCUCAGGGUUUGCCAUGUGGACUACUUACCAUUUGGGAUGACUCUUUUUUGGAAUGUGUUGAUGAAAUAGUUGGUCCAAAUACACUUUUUCAAAAGUUCAAAUGCAAAACUGAAAACUAUGAAGGGUGUAUUACUAAUGUUUGCUCUCUAUGUGAAUACGGGAAUAGAAUGGAUUUCUGGGAAGAAAUGGAAGAUCUGACAGGGUGGGAAAAUGAACAUUGGUGCAUGGCUGGAGAUUACAAUGCAAUUAGGAGAAGAAAAGAAAGGAACAAACCUGGAGGAUCAAAAAGAAACAGAAGGCUUUUCAAUGAGUUCAUGUAAGAGCAUGCUUUGGUGGAUUUACCAUUAAAUGGAGGUCUUUAUACUUGGAGCAAUAUGCAAUCUGAUCCUUUGCUUUGCAGACUUGACAGAGUGCUGGUGUCUCCUCAAUUUGAAGGUAAAUUUCCCCUUCUUACCCAAAAAAUACAAGCAAGAACCUUGUCAGAUCAUUCCCCAAU